Molecule: non-coding RNA, 145 nt
Organism: Gossypium raimondii (Peruvian cotton)
Lineage: Eukaryota; Viridiplantae; Streptophyta; Magnoliopsida; Malvales; Malvaceae
Source: Rfam
UGUUAAAAAUUUCAUCUAUUUCUAUUGUAAAAAACUGGCGUGGUUGACGAAAUAACCAGACAGUUACACUUGUCAUGCUACGUGUGCCUUGUGCUAACGUACAUGGACCAGUUUUUAACAAUAGAAAUGAAUGUAAUUUAUAACA